UUCUCUUGUGUCUCUCUUCUUCUUCUCUUUCUUUUCCCUUUGAUCAAUUGGAUGGCUUGUGUACAUAUUGUUCAUGAUGUAUGGAUUGGUAUUUGAUGAAUUUUCAUCAUUUCAAAUCUACCUCCUAAUUGAUCAUGGAUCAUUUAAGAUACUUUGGAUUGAUGCAUGAGUUUAUCCUAAGUGUCAUGAAGUGUGGGUUGAAGU
This 204-nucleotide long non-coding RNA is filed under the name Lathyrus oleraceus (garden pea). RNAcentral's name for it is "Pisum sativum (pea) long non-coding RNA (PSAT_LNC015238)". Lineage: Eukaryota; Viridiplantae; Streptophyta; Magnoliopsida; Fabales; Fabaceae. The record is from RNAcentral.